ACGGGUGAGUAAUGUAUUGGAACGUACCCAGUAGCGGGGGAUAACUACGCGAAAGCGUAGCUAAUACCGCAUACGCCCUGAGGGGGAAAGCGGGGGACCGAAAGGCCUCGCACUAUUGGAGCGGCCAAUAUCGGAUUAGCUAGUUGGUGGGGUAAAGGCCUACCAAGGCGACGAUCCGUAGCUGGUUUGAGAGGACGACCAGCCACACUGGGACUGAGACACGGCCCAGACUCCUACGGGAGGCAGCAGUGGGGAAUUUUGGACAAUGGGGGCAACCCUGAUCCAGCCAUCCCGCGUGUGCGAUGAAGGCCUUCGGGUUGUAAAGCACUUUUGGCAGGAAAGAAAAGGGCCUGGUUAAUACCUGGGUCAAAUGACGGUACCUGCAGAAUAAGCACCGGCUAACUACGUGCCAGCAGCCGCGGUAAUACGUAGGGUGCAAGCGUUAAUCGGAAUUACUGGGCGUAAAGCGUGCGCAGGCGGUUCGGAAAGAAAGAUGUGAAAUCCCAGGGCUUAACCUUGGAACUGCAUUUUUAACUACCGGGCUAGAGUGUGUCAGAGGGGGGUGGAAUUCCGCGU
RNAcentral lists this ribosomal RNA (576 nucleotides) under uncultured bacterium. Its description in RNAcentral is "bacterial SSU rRNA". It matches the Rfam family "Bacterial small subunit ribosomal RNA", at positions 102 to 674 of the family's 1533-position model. The record is from RNAcentral.